GAUGAACGCUGGCGGCGUGCCUAAUACAUGCAAGUCGAGCGAACGGACGAGAAGCUUGCUUCUCUGAUGUUAGCGGCGGACGGGUGAGUAACACGUGGAUAACCUACCUAUAAGACUGGGAUAACUUCGGGAAACCGGAGCUAAUACCGGAUAAUAUUUUGAACCGCAUGGUUCAAAAGUGAAAGACGGUCUUGCUGUCACUUAUAGAUGGAUCCGCGCUGCAUUAGCUGGUUGGUAAGGUAACGGCUUACCAAGGCAACGAUGCAUAGCCGACCUGAGAGGGUGAUCGGCCACACUGGGACUGAGACACGGUCCAGACUCCUACGGGAGGCAGCAGUAGGGAAUCUUCCGCAAUGGGCGAAAGCCUGACGGAGCAACGCCGCGUGAGUGAUGAAGGUCUUCGGAUCGUAAAACUCUGUUAUUAGGGAAGAACAUAUGUGUAAGUAACUGUGCACAUCUUGACGGUACCUAAUCAGAAAGCCACGGCUAACUACGUG
This 497-nucleotide ribosomal RNA is filed under the name uncultured bacterium. Its description in RNAcentral is "partial 16S ribosomal RNA". It matches the Rfam family "Bacterial small subunit ribosomal RNA", at positions 28 to 507 of the family's 1533-position model. The record is from RNAcentral.